AUAGAAAAUUUUCUUGAUUAAAAAAUUUUAUUUAUUAAUUUUUAUUAAAAAAAAAUAAAAUAAUAUUUGUUUUAGUUUUAAAAAAAAAUAUGGAUUAAUUAUAGUUUAAAGUAUUUAUAAAGAAUGAUAUAAAAAUAAAAAAAGUAGAUAUUAAUUUUGUACCUUUUGUAUCAGGGUUUAAAGAAAAAUUAUUAAAUAAAUAAAUCUCGAAAAGUUAAGAUUUAAUUACAUAUGAUUAUUAAUGUGUCAAAAUUAAUAUUUAAUAUUUAAUUGGGAGUGAAAAGCUAGUCGGUUAAUUAGGAUUCUAGUUUUUAAAUAAAUUAAUUUAAUUGAGAUUUGAAUUAAAAAAUAAAUUUUUAUUUAAAAUGAUUUGAAUUUAAGUUACAAAGAGUUUAGUUUUUGUAAUUUUUAUAUAUAGUAAUAAAAGAUUUUUUUUAGAAUUGUUAUUGUUUAUAAUUAUUAAUUUUUUAAAAAGAAAAAUUUAUUUUAAAGAAUUUAUUUAAAAUUAAAAAUUUAUUUAAAUUUAUGUUUUACUAAUGAAAAUGAGGAAAAAAUUUUAAGAUUAGUAAAUUAAAAUAUUAAAUUAUAAAAUAGGAAUUCGGCAAAAUUAAUUUUCGCUUGUUUAUCAAAAACAUGUCUUUAAGUAUUGUAUUUAAAGUCCAAUCUGCUCACUGAUUAUUAAAGAGCUGCAGUAUAUUGACUGUACAAAGGUAGCAUAAUAAAUAGUUUUUUAAUUGAAAACUGGAAUGAAAGAUUAGACGAGAAAUUAUCUUUCUUUUUUAUAAAAAAUUGAAUUUAAAAUUUAAGUGAAAAUUCUUAAAUAAAAUUAAAAGACGAGAAGACCCUAUAGAUUUUUAUUAAUUAAUAGUUAAUUUAAUAUUUUAAUUGUUUAUUAAUUUAAUUGGGGCGAUUUUGUAACAUAAAAAACUUAAAAUUUUUAAACCAUAAAUUAUUGAAUUUUUUGAACUAAAAUUUUUAGUAGCAAGAUUAAAUUACCUUAGGGAUAACAGCGUAAUUUUAUUUAAGAGUUCGUAUCUAUAAUAAAGGUUGCGACCUCGAUGUUGAAUUAAAAGUUUCAUUGGAGUAGAAAUUAAUGUUAAAUAGUCUGUUCGACUAUUAAACUUUUACAUGAUUUGAGUUCAGACCGGCGUGAGCCAGGUCAGUUUCUAUCUUUAAUUUAUUUUUAUAUAUGGGUACGAAAGGACAAUUUAUAAAUAAAAUUUAUUUUAUUAAA
This 1234-nucleotide ribosomal RNA is filed under the name Hemicaecilius smithersi. Its description in RNAcentral is "16S ribosomal RNA". The record is from RNAcentral. Lineage: Eukaryota; Metazoa; Arthropoda; Insecta; Psocodea; Sphaeropsocidae.